GACGAACGCUGGCGGCGUGCUUAACACAUGCAAGUCGAACGGAAAGGCCCUGCUUUUUUGGGGUGCUCGAGUGGCGAACGGGUGAGUAACACGUGAGUAACCUGCCCUUGACUUUGGGAUAACUUCAGGAAACUGGGGCUAAUACCGGAUAGGAGCUCCUGCUUCAUUGUGGUGGUUGGAAAGUUUCGGCGGUUGGUGAUGGACUCGCGGCUUAUCAGCUUGUUGGUGGGGUAGUGGCUUACCAAGGCUUUGACGGGUAGCCGGCCUGAGCGGGUGACCGGCCACAUUGGGACUGAGAUACGGCCCAGCAUCCUACGGGAGGCAGCAGUGGGGAAUAUUGCACUAUGGGCGGAAGGCUGAUGCAGCAACGCCGCGUGCGGGAUGAAGGCCUUCGGGUUGUAAACCGCUUUCGCCUGUGACGAAGCGUGAGUGACGGUAAUGGGUAAAGAAGCACCGGCUAACUACGUG
RNAcentral lists this ribosomal RNA (468 nucleotides) under uncultured bacterium. RNAcentral's name for it is "partial 16S ribosomal RNA". It matches the Rfam family "Bacterial small subunit ribosomal RNA", at positions 28 to 507 of the family's 1533-position model. The record is from RNAcentral.